GGGCGCAUAGCUCAGUUGGUAGAGCAGCUGACUCUUAAUCAGCGGGUCACAGGUUCGAUCCCUGUUGCGCCUACCA
Molecule: transfer RNA, 76 nt
Filed under: Devosia sp.
Lineage: Bacteria; Pseudomonadati; Pseudomonadota; Alphaproteobacteria; Hyphomicrobiales; Devosiaceae
Also listed under: 2 other names
Description: tRNA-Lys
Rfam family: tRNA
About the family: Transfer RNA (tRNA) molecules are approximately 80 nucleotides in length. Their secondary structure includes four short double-helical elements and three loops (D, anti-codon, and T loops).
Source: RNAcentral